Molecule: ribosomal RNA, 579 nt
Filed under: Triticum aestivum (bread wheat)
Lineage: Eukaryota; Viridiplantae; Streptophyta; Magnoliopsida; Poales; Poaceae
Description: partial small subunit ribosomal RNA
Source: RNAcentral
AUGGCCAAGAUCCAGCCCCUCCCCGCGGCCCCAUCGCCGCCGUCCUCCGGUGAUCACCGCCAGGGCCAGCAGGCGUACACGGUGUGGAUGAAGUCGCUGGUGUUCAACGGCAACGGCUGCGCGGUGUACGGCCCCGACGGCGCCGUCGCCUUCCGCGUCGACAACUACGGCUGCAGGGGCGGCCGCGAGGUCUUCUUCAUGGACCGUCAGGGGAACGCCCUCAUCAGGAUCAGGCGCAAGGGCUUCGGCAUGUUCAGGAGGUGGGAGGUCUGCCGGUGCGAGGACGAGGAUGCGACGCCGUGGUUCACCGUGCGCCGAGCUGGCAAGGGCGGGGCCGCCGUUGCGAUGCACGGCGGCGCGGGGACAUGCUACAAGAUCGACGGGUGCUCUGCCAGCAAGACGGAGUACAAAGUCCGCGGCGUGGACGGCGCGGCCGUGGCGGAGGUGGCGCGGAAGCAGACGGCGGCCGGGGUGGUGCUGGGAGAGGACGUGCUGACGCUGACGGUGGCGCCGGAAAUGGAUCACCUGCUCGUCCUGGGUUUGGUCGUCGUGCGUGGCCUCAUCAACCGCUCCUUGUGA